This 134-nucleotide ribosomal RNA is filed under the name uncultured eukaryote. Its description in RNAcentral is "partial 18S ribosomal RNA". It matches the Rfam family "Eukaryotic small subunit ribosomal RNA", at positions 1299 to 1458 of the family's 1831-position model. The record is from RNAcentral.
UGGUGGAGUGAUUUGUCUGGUUAAUUCCGAUAACGAACGAGACCUUAACAGAUAGUUGAGUAGAAGAAAAGAUUCUUUGGACUCACUAGAGGGACUGGCGGGGGAUAACCUGCAGGAAGUAUGAGGCAAUAACA